Molecule: non-coding RNA, 30 nt
Filed under: Homo sapiens (human)
Lineage: Eukaryota; Metazoa; Chordata; Mammalia; Primates; Hominidae
Source: RNAcentral
UCGGUCCAGAGACAAGGGAGUGACACCUGC